UACGAAGGGGGGCUAGCGUUGCUCGGAAUUACUGGGCGUAAAGGGCGCGUAGGCGGAUAUUUAAGUCGGGGGGUGAAAGCCCGGGGCUCAACCUCGGAAUUGCCUUCGAUACUGGAUAUCUUGAGUUCGGGAGAGGUGAGUGGAAUGCCGAGUGUAGAGGUGAAAUUCGUAGAUAUUCGGCGGAACACCAGUGGCGAAGGCGACUCACUGGCCCGAUACUGACGCUGAGGCGCGAAAGCGUGGGGAGCAAACAGG
RNAcentral lists this ribosomal RNA (255 nucleotides) under uncultured bacterium. RNAcentral describes it as "partial 16S ribosomal RNA". It matches the Rfam family "Bacterial small subunit ribosomal RNA", at positions 524 to 776 of the family's 1533-position model. The record is from RNAcentral.